UUGCUUCUGCAGCACAUAUAUUAAAAUUGAAACAAUACAGAGAAGAUUAGCAUGGCCCUUGCACAAGAAUGACAUGCAAAUUCGUUAAGUGUUCCAUAUUUUA
This is a non-coding RNA of Erinaceus europaeus (western European hedgehog), 103 nucleotides long. The record is from Rfam. Lineage: Eukaryota; Metazoa; Chordata; Mammalia; Eulipotyphla; Erinaceidae.